Long non-coding RNA from Mus musculus (house mouse), 6948 nucleotides. RefSeq annotates it as predicted gene 13817. The record is from RefSeq and is a predicted model, not a curated record. The transcript is spliced from 4 exons. NCBI's taxonomy places the organism in Eukaryota, Metazoa, Chordata, Mammalia, Rodentia, Muridae.
AAAAAAAAAAAGAAGACCUAAUAAACAAGAGACAAUGUUUAAAUAACUGCUCAGUGUUGUGACACCCACCAUCUCUGAAAAAUACCAGAGUUUAUUUUUGUGUUGGCCAUCUACUGCUGGGAAUGGUUUGUGUCCCCACUGAAACUCCACUAGAGAAAGCUACUUUUUCCUCUGUUAGUGGUUUUUAAGUGGUUUUAGAUUUUCUGGGUUAGGGAUGGGGGUUCAGGUCCAAUUCUCCUGUCAGUUCUUGAAUCCCAUCUGACAUGGACCUGUGUAAGCUGUCCUGCUGGGUCUGUAAGGCCUUGUCUCUUUGUCUUCUGUCCCAUCUGGCUCUCAAGACUUUUUCCACCACCUCUUUCCCAUACUUCAGCCCUUGGGGAAGGAUUUGAUGAAGACAUCCCAUUUAAGACAGAGGGUCCCACUCUCUUCACUCUGUCCAGUUGUAUUAGUUCCCAUCCCCUGCAGGAGGAAACUUCUCUAAUGCUGGCUAAGCAAGACACCAAUCUAUGGUACAGUAGGAUGUCAUUAAGAAUCAUUUUAUUGCUGUGUACCUUUAGCAGAACAAUAGUUCUGGUUUUCCCCUAGGUCCAUGGCCUGUCUAGUCUCCAGUUCUUGGCCACCCAAACAGUGUCAGGGAUGGGUUCCAUCUCCUGGAGUAACCUUAGGUCUAAGCAGAGAGUGGUUGGUUGUUCCCACAACAUCUGUGCCACAAUUGUGCCAGUAUCAUACCGAAAGGUCACCAUUGUAGAUCAAAGUGUAUGAACCUGGGUUAAUGUUCUGGUUAGCAUUCAGCAUACCUUCUAGUACCAUAAACCCUAGUCAGUGGGGCUGAAGGCUCGAGUUAGGCAUUUGACUUCUCUGUGUUCAUUGAGAUGGGUAGGUGUUGGCAUCAGCAAUAGGGCCUUACCAUAGGGCUGUGGAGAGCAGGCAAUCACCUGGGAGUUUCCAUGGGGUACCUUUGGCCAACAACUCAAUUGGAUGUCACCCAUUCUGGCCAUUUUACUUGAAGUCGAGAGAUCUAGUUAGGUUUCCCUCAUUAUUUGGUGAAUCCACUUAGAUUCUUUCAUAUAUGCAUAUAUUUUAAGGAGCUUCUAUAGUAGGUUUCCAUAUGACCCCUCAGGUGGAUUUAGUGUUCGCUAUCCCUCCCUGUAUUCCUUCACCCACCCAUCUCUCCCCCACCCCUUGUGUGAAGUAGAUGAAGUCCCACCUUCCUGAGGAAAUGCCUCACUGAUUUCCUCAGUAGCCAUACACGUCUGCAUCGUGUACAUCCCACCAGCGAUUGAGGAUUUCCCUUAGUCCACAUCCAGCCUGAGUUGUCAUUUGUUUUAUUGAUCUUGGCCGUCCUAUUACUGGCAGUUUUGAUUUGCAUUUCCUUAAUAACAGUGCUGAGCACUUUUAAGAGUUUUUCUCAGCAAUUUGUGUUUCAUCUUUUGAGAACUCUCUAACUCCACACCCCACUCUUUAAUUGGGUUAUAUGUUUUCUUGGUGUCCAGUUUUUUAGUUCUUUAUGUGUUUCAGAUAUUAGCCCUCUAUCAGACACAUCAUCGAUAAAGGUUUUUUUCCCAUUUUAUAGGCUGUCAAUUUGUCCAAAUAACAGUUUUCCUUUGCCAUACUGAAGCUUUGCAGUUUCAUGGACAUUUAUUAACUGAUCUUAAUACCUGUCCUACCAGCAUUCUGCCCAGAAAGUCUUUUCCUGCGUCAAUUCAAGGCUAUUCCCUACUUUCUAUCAGAUUCAGGAUAUCAGGCCUCCUGUUGAGGUCUUUUGAACCAUUUGAAGUUGAGUUUGUGCAGGGUGAUAAGUAUGGUUCUAUCUGGAUUCUUCUACAUGCAGAUAUCGAGGUUGAUCAGCACAAUUUGUUGAAGAUUAUUUUUUCCCAUGUAUAUUUCCGACUUUGUCAAAAAUCAAGAAACACUUAUGCAGCUUGGAGGAUGGCAGAGAGGAAUUGAGGUGGCCUAGGAGAGAACUUCCCGAAGAGCUAAGGGGAUCCUGUCCACAUCUGGAGCGAAGAAACCCUCCUGGUGCAGACAGCAAAAGGCCUGUUUCAAGUGAGGGAUGGCUAGUUCAAGGACAGGAGGGUGACAUCACAAGGACCAAUCUGUAAGCCAGAAGACUCAGAAGACUAAAAAGGCAAAAUUAGGUAGCAGGGGUUACCUGCUCAGAGCAGAGACAGAUGGGAAAUUUCUGUCAUCAUUAAGGUUUUAUUGACCAGCGCGGCUGAAAUUUCCCAGAGAGAGGAAUUCAUCUCGCUACCGACUGAGAGCAGACAUCCUGCUGGGAGUAGUUACAUAAAUUCUGUUGCUCAAAUUAAUUAGGAUUGUGAUUCAUUUGUUUAAUGAAGAAUCUGAUGGCGAGAGGCAAGGCAGCCUAGCCUUGCCGAGUUCAGCCAAUCCCGGGUGAUAGUGCGGCAGAUGGGGUGGGACCAGGCCUGGAGCUGGCUGCCGAUGGGCAGAGACAACCAACCAGAAUGCAGAGCUGAAGCCAGUGGGAGCCGCUGCUGUCCCCUCCAAAGCUGGUGGCUGGAGAGACGCAGAUUCCCAGCUUAAAGCUUUCCCAGCUUCGCCGCCGCCCAGAGGCUUCCGGCCUCCUGCUUCCUCUGUGCGGAACAACUGCGAACAGCUGAAACACACGCCUCAUUAGCACCGACCGUCCACCCAUUUCCUCAUGCCACCCCCAAACGCCAGACUUUAUGCUUCUUGGAACACAAAGUAGGGACAGGUAGAGCACCGGCCUGUCCCACCUGCUUCGAAAAGACCCCUCCCCUCUACCCAGACUUCCCUGCCUGCGAGUGGAAGGGCAGCCCCAUUCCACAGUCGCCUCUGGAAGCACCUUCCCCAGGUUCUGUGAUCCUGGCUCUCAGCCGCAGUUGUAGAGGUAAGAGGCAGGUAGGCGGCCGGAGAAAGGUAGCCCCGGGUGAGGCUGGAGAGAAGCAGGAACUGCACAACUCCAGGAGACGGUGACUGAUUGAUCGACUAUGUAGGUAACACUCUUUGGGAUAAGAUUUAAAAGAUGCUCCCUAGCAUCCCUAGAGAAAAAGGUCAAGUCAGAUGUUUUGAGUGAGUCUGAGGGAUUUGUUGAAGUGGAUGCUGGAGAAGAAGAGAAGUCAGGUAAGCUUGGGACUUUUAUUUAUUGAUGCCACGUCUGCAGGAGUCCUUCCUGGGAGCCAUGUUUUCUUUCUAGAUGCCCCCACUUCUUAUUUGGACUGGACCUGGAAAGCCACAGGUCAGACCCAGCAGGACUUUUAAUGAAUCAGAACGAACUAUUACACGGGCAUGUGUCCUGAUAUCUUCCCCCACACUACCUAGAUGCCUCUCCUGGAUCAGUUACAGCUCACUUAAAAAGAAGCAGAGUCCACAAAUGGAAUGAACUGUGACGCAAAUGUUUGCCUGCUAGACCUUGGAUUCCCUGUCCUCAAAAGGUGCCUGCGGUCAUCUGACUCCAUUCAGUGGCCAAGGGAAAUCUUAAGCAUGAAUGUAUCUUGUCACUGUUCUUUAACUCUCUGAAAGAUUUCCCAACACAGAAGUUAAAACAGUAAAGCCAUCCAGCCUAAGGUGAGGUGAUCUGACACAUCUUCCUCUAGUUAAUACGGCCCCUUCUACAGCCCUCUUGCUGGUUGCCCUCUGCCUGACCCACUGUUUCUCCCUGAGGCACCCCAUAACUCCACAAAGUGUUCCCACCCCUUGGGAGGCCCUGGCUGCUCUCCUUCCCUGGGUUGUGUUUGGGGUGUGGCUAUAUUACAGAGGCCCGAGUGUUGGUGACAGUGUUGAACUGGUGGGACUUUAAAGAAAUGAGCCUUACUGGAAGGUCAUCUGGUUCCCUGGGGAUGAGGUAGUUCUCAGGUAACCCUGAGGUGGUUCUGGUGAGAGGGUUGUUAGAAAAGAGCCUGGCUGCUGUCAUUCCACCGGUCCUCUGAUACCCUCAUACAUAUUCUUACCAAUGAGAUGCCAUCUAUGAAGCCUUCACCAGAGUCAGCCUGAUGCUGGCACCGGGCCCUUGAACCUCAGAACUGUGAGCUGCUCAAAAAGUUAUCAAACACCAAGCAUUUUGUUAUAGUGGAAUACAUAUCGAUGGCUAGAGAUGCAGAGAUGAAAGACAGACUCCAACAUUAAGGUUGGCUAAAUAGCACUAAGCAGGCCUUCUGAGCAGGAGUGGCAGGAUCAGAUCUGAGAUUAUGAAUUUUCAUGGCGAAUGGAGGCUAGAGAUGGUUAGGAAACUGUUAGAAUAGUCCUACAGUAAAUGGUAUUUUAGAAAUAACAAAAUACCUCAGAAUUAUAAAAUAAGGGCUCUGCUUCUAAAAUGUCACCUUGUGUCCUUCAGAAGGGACAAGCAUUAUCCUCACAUGACUAAACAUCUUUCUGCAGUGUGUGUAUAUGUAUGCCUUGAUACAAAACUAAUGUUACCAUCCUGACAUCUAGAAUGACCUGGGAAACAGGCCUCUGGACAAAGCCUUGUGACAGAAGUAUCUUAGUUGAGUUCAUUAAGAUGGGAAGACCUGCCUACUGUGGGUGGCAACAUUCCCUGGGUCCUAGGCUGUAUAAAAAGGAUGUGAGCUGAGUAGAAUCAUCCCGUUUCUUGACUGUUGGUGGAGUGUGUAUGUGAUUUCACCAGGAGAGACCUCUGUGAGCCAAAAUGAACCUUUUAAAUUGCUCUUAAUCAGGAAGCCUGAGCAACAGGGAAGCAACCCUCUGUCUAGGAUAGCCAGGUCUCAGAGCCUGAAAAGUGGCCAGUUCUUUGCAACUGCACACUCCACACCCUGAAUGUGUAAAAUGUCAGCACUGGAAGACACCUUCAGUUGCCCAUUCACCAAGGUCUUGGCAGGAAACAGGACUCUGUUCUAAUAGAUCAACUGAAGAUGCUCUAGUGAACUGUUUACAGAGAGCUGUGCAGGACUGAGGAUGCCAAGGAGGGUACUAGGAAAGCUAGAGACUACUGAAACCGCCAAGGCCUACGGGAGUGUUGCUGGAUCUAGAGAAGAAGGCUGGGGAUGAGUGGGAAAGUGGUGGGCAGGCACCUGAGCCAAAACCAGAGGAGCAAAGAGCAUCCCAGCCUCCUCCUCCUCCUCCUCCCCUCCUGCCCCCUACCAGUGCCUCUCAUUGGCCAAACCACGCUGGAGCCAAGCAGUAGGGAGCCUCUUGAUUAUUCUACAAGGUCAGCUUUCUGAUGCCCAGGGCAGGGAAGAGGAGGGGAGAUCUCAUCCUGCAAAAGGCAGAAAGCAAGCUCAGAGCAGAGGCAACUCGCUUUUGUGGGGCAAGUCAGGAGAAGGCCCAUGUUCCCUCUUCCUUGGGUGACGCAGUCUGACCUGGAAGCAGCUUAGGCAGAGGGAAGCAGCAGAUCAAGGACAGUGGAGAGCAGCACGGGGAAGAUGGCAUCCACAGGCCGCAAGAAGAGGGGGAUGGAUGCUUCUUCCCCAUCUCUUCAUAGUCUGCUUGAUCACUGCUUCUGCCCCAUUUCCCCAGGCAUGGGGACAAAAACACAGACCUGAGGCUGACAGGGACAGUUCCCUGGGGCUGCUUACUGAUCCCGCACAAGAUGGUUUAAUUGAUGUCCUUAUAAUAAAUGGUGCAGAAAAGCAACACGCCUUUAGUCUUCUGGGAGCCUCAAGGAAACAGGAGAGGGAAGUGGGAACCCCAGGACAGCAAGUGCAGUUAGAAAGGAGCUGAGACGGAGAAGCCAUGGAGCCCUGGGUUCAGUCAAGUCUCAGCCUUUCUGAGCUGCUCGCUCUGUCCUUGUCAAAGCCUAAGAAGUGCCUGGACCAUGCCUACAUCUCCUCCCCACUCCACUGUGUUCCCACUGCAGUCUCUCCAGGCCCCAGGGCAACCCAGGCUUCAUCCAUGCUGCUCUCUCCUGUAAUGCCCUCUGCUUCCCUGCAAGACCCCUCCUUCCAUUGUUCUUAAGCUCCUUUGAGCCCCUUCCAUCCCCUGACUGCCCUGGCAUGAUGGCUGCCUGGACCCCUUCUCUCCCUUUCCCUCUGACUUAGCUUGUAGUUACAAGGCAGGAACUGCAUUUUCUCUUUCGCACCUAACAGGCCCCACUGUGAUCAGGUGAUGAGAGGAAGCAGCAGGGCGGAGAGUGGGGAAGCUCAGGUGGGCACAGCCAGGCACAGCAGGGGCCCCGAUAAGAGGACAGCUCCUCUACAGCCCUGAGCUCCCUCCCAGCUAAUUAGGAUAGAGCAUCCAUCAUGCACUUGUAUCUUUAGCAUGGGACACAGCCUCCCCAGGGCCUGGGCCCAGCUGGCUCUCUGCUCAGACUCAUAAACUUGUAACUGACUCAGGAGCAGAGGACAUAGGAGCCGUGCUGUGAAAUCAUAAAACGAGCAUCAGGAAGAAUCUUAUCAUUCGGAAAGAGUGAGGGCCCCGUGCUCCCAAAGACAAGGCACUCUGCAGCUUCCUCCGGGUAUCUUGGCACGUUUAUCUCAGAAUCCAAGUGUCACAUGAUAAGAAACCCAGGCCACGGGAGAACUUAUGUCUAGAUACCUGGAGUGACACCAUCAGCUGCCAACCACACCAUGCAAAGACAGGACCAUCUCGGACAGCCAGCCAACAAAGCCUUCAGAUGACUCCAGGCCGAGCCACUGCCUGGCACAACCACACAACAGACACAGAACCGUCCAGCUAAGUUCAGCUAACCCGUGCAACUGUACAGGAUAAUAGUUUACACUGCUAGAAACUCCUUGCAUAUAGAUACCACUUUAGAGAGGAGCAGCUGCAACCACAACAGCGAAGUGACUCACUGAAAGCCUUGGGACGCUGAGAGGUGGAGCCUGGGGUGUUUAGCUGCAGUCACCCCACCAGAACAGGUAGAGAAGUGAGCUUCCCAGAGGAGAAGAAGGGGAAAGGGAAAGAAAGAUGAAUUUCAUUUAAAAAUCCCAAAUUAAUUCCAUUUAUAAAAGAAACUGUUCUCCAUGUGUACGGUUUUUGUUUUUAGUCUUCUAAAUGGUAUCUUGAAAUUUA